Molecule: ribosomal RNA, 108 nt
Filed under: Candidatus Nomurabacteria bacterium RIFCSPHIGHO2_02_FULL_42_24
Lineage: Bacteria; Candidatus Nomuraibacteriota
Also listed under: 1 other name
Source: RNAcentral
GUUGGUGAUUUAACGCAGUGGUCACACCUCUUCCCAUUCCGAACAGAGAAGUUAAGCACUGUAGUACCGAUGGUAGUCCGUAAGGGCGAGAGUAGGUAAUCGCCAGCA